This 1193-nucleotide long non-coding RNA is filed under the name Homo sapiens (human). RNAcentral's name for it is "long non-coding RNA NONHSAT215536.1". Lineage: Eukaryota; Metazoa; Chordata; Mammalia; Primates; Hominidae. The record is from RNAcentral.
AAGGAAAGGAAGAAAGGCAACGAACAAGAAGGAGGGCUUCCAACUGCAGCUUCCUGCCGGCUGCAGGCCUCCCUUCCUAAGCUGAGCUGAGGCUUCCUCUCCAUGGGCUGGGGAGGGGGCGCCAGGAGGCCUCGGCGGGUCCGCAAUUGGCCGGGACAGCUUCUCACGAAAGGUCCUGGGCCGGCAUCAUCAGCCUCACCUGGGAACUGGUUAGAACUACAAAUUCCCUCGGCCCCACCCAGACCGACGCCAAGGGCAGCUGUGGAGUGGGGCGCGGCAAUGCGCCCCUUAACAGCCCUCCAGGCUUCUUAGCCCGGGCUUGGACAGCCGCCUUCCGGCCAGAGGGGAUGAGGUUGCGCUGCGCUCCGGGAGCGCCGAUGGCGUGACUGGCCCCGCGCGGAGCAGCGACAGUAAGGCUGUGUGGGGGGAGCUGGGACCUAAGCCGCGCGCACACCCCUUUCUCUGCGUCUGGUGGAGGUGCACAGAGGCUUUUGAGUCAGGCCCAAGCGCAGCCAGGUGACCUCCCCGCGGCCUUUCAAGCCUGAGCUCGGUGGACAGCUCCCUCUCCCGUGAGUCCCGCUGUCCUGUACGCGCCCGGUCGAGCCCCGGGCUGCGCACCCCGCUAGGAGCUGCCCGGCCAGCCCGCUUCUCUGCCCGGAGCCAUGAAUCUCAGUAGCGCCAGUAGCACGGAGGAAAAGGCAGUGACGACCGUGCUCUGGGGCUGCGAGCUCAGUCAGGAGAGGCGGACUUGGACCUUCAGACCCCAGCUGGAGGGGAAGCAGAGCUGCAGGCUGUUGCUUCAUACGAUUUGCUUGGGGGAGAAAGCCAAAGAGGAGAUGCAUCGCGUGGAGAUCCUGCCCCCAGCAAACCAGGAGGACAAGAAGAUGCAGCCGGUCACCAUUGCCUCACUCCAGGCCUCAGUCCUCCCCAUGGUCUCCAUGGUAGGAGUGCAGCUUUCUCCCCCAGUUACUUUCCAGCUCCGGGCUGGCUCAGGACCCGUGUUCCUCAGUGGCCAGGAACGUUAUGAAGCAUCAGACCUAACCUGGGAGGAGGAGGAGGAAGAAGAAGGGGAGGAGGAGGAAGAGGAAGAGGAAGAUGAUGAGGAUGAGGAUGCAGAUAUAUCUCUGGAGGAGCAAAGCCCUGUCAAACAAGUCAAAAGGCUGGUGCCCCAGAAGCAGGCGAGCGUGGCUAAG